RNAcentral lists this ribosomal RNA (350 nucleotides) under uncultured bacterium. Its description in RNAcentral is "bacterial SSU rRNA". It matches the Rfam family "Bacterial small subunit ribosomal RNA", at positions 70 to 422 of the family's 1533-position model. The record is from RNAcentral.
AAAGGUCUCUUCGGAGACACUCGAGUGGCGAACGGGUGAGUAACACGUGGGUGAUCUGCCCUGCACUUCGGGAUAAGCCUGGGAAACUGGGUCUAAUACCGGAUAGGACCAUGAGAUGCAUGUCUUAUGGUGGAAAGCUUUUGCGGUGUGGGAUGGGCCCGCGGCCUAUCAGCUUGUUGGUGGGGUCACGGCCUACCAAGGCCACGAUGCGUAGCCGACCUGAGAGGGUGAUCGGCCACACUGGGACUGAGACACGGCCCAGACUCCUACGGGAGGCAGCAGUAGGGAAUCUUCCGCAAUGGACGAAAGUCUGACGGAGCAACGCCGCGUGAGUGAUGAAGGUUUUCGGA